This 481-nucleotide ribosomal RNA is filed under the name uncultured bacterium. RNAcentral's name for it is "bacterial SSU rRNA". It matches the Rfam family "Bacterial small subunit ribosomal RNA", at positions 29 to 506 of the family's 1533-position model. The record is from RNAcentral.
UUGAACGCUGGCGGAAUGCUUUACACAUGCAAGUCGAGCGGCAGCGCGGGGCAACCUGGCGGCGAGCGGCGAACGGGUGAGUAAUGCAUCGGAACAUGUCCAUGUCGUGGGGGAUAGCCCGGCGAAAGCCGGAUUAAUACCGCAUACGCUCGAGAGAGGAAAGCCGGGGACCGCAAGGCCUGGCGCGAUUGGGUUGGCCGAUGUCCGAUUAGCUUGUUGGUGAGGUAAAGGCUUACCAAGGCGAUGAUCGGUAGCUGGUCUGAGAGGAUGAUCAGCCACACUGGGACUGAGACACGGCCCAGACUCCUACGGGAGGCAGCAGUGGGGAAUUUUGGACAAUGGGGGCAACCCUGAUCCAGCCAUUCCGCGUGAGUGAAGAAGGCCUUCGGGUUGUAAAGCUCUUUUGUCCGGAGCGAAACGGGUAGCCCCAAUACGGCUGCCUACUGACGGUACCGGAAGAAUAAGCACCGGCUAACUACGU